AGUCAACCUACCCUAUAGACGGGGAUAACCUCGGGAAACUGAGGAUAAACCCCGAUAGAUCAUUAUGCCUGGAACGGUUUAUGGUCCAAAUGAUUCGUCGCUAUAGGAUGGGACUGCGGCCUAUCAGCUUGUUGGUGAGGUAAUGGCCCACCAAGGCUAUUACAGGUACGGGCUCUGAGAGGAGAAGCCCGGAGAUGGGUACUGAGACACGGACCCAGGUCCUAUGGGGCGCAGCAGGCGAGAAAACUUUGCAAUGUGCGCAAGCACGACAAGGUUAAUCCGAGUGAUUCCUGCUAAAGGAAUCUUUUGUUAGUUAUAAUACCACUAAUGAAUAAGGGGUGGGCAAGUUCUGGUGUCAGCCGCCGCGGUAAAACCAGCACCUCAAGUGGUCAGGAGGAUUAUUGGGCCUAAAGCAUCCGUAGCCUGCUCUGUAAGUUUUCGGUUAAAUCCAUCUGCUCAACAGAUGGGCCGCCGAAAAAACUGCAAAGCUAGGGAGUGGGAGAGGUAGACGGUACUCGAUAGGAAGGGGUAAAAUCCUUUGAUCUAUUGAUGACCCCCUGUGGCGAAGGCGGUCUACCAGAACACGUUCGACGGUGAGGGAUGAAAGCUGGGGGAGCAAACCGGAUUAGAUACCCGGGUAGUCCCAGCUGUAAACGAUGCAGACUCGGUGAUGCCCUGGCUUGUGGCCAGUGCAGUGCCGCAGGGAAGCCGUUAAGUUUGCCGCCUGGGAAGUACGUACGCAAGUAUGAAACUUAAAGGAAUUGGCGGGGGAGCACCACAAGGGGUGAAGCCUGCGGUUC
RNAcentral lists this ribosomal RNA (800 nucleotides) under uncultured archaeon. RNAcentral describes it as "bacterial SSU rRNA". It matches the Rfam family "Archaeal small subunit ribosomal RNA", at positions 102 to 903 of the family's 1478-position model. The record is from RNAcentral.